This 465-nucleotide ribosomal RNA is filed under the name Vreelandella stevensii. Its description in RNAcentral is "partial 16S ribosomal RNA". It matches the Rfam family "Bacterial small subunit ribosomal RNA", at positions 338 to 795 of the family's 1533-position model. The record is from RNAcentral. Lineage: Bacteria; Pseudomonadati; Pseudomonadota; Gammaproteobacteria; Oceanospirillales; Halomonadaceae.
CCUACGGGAGGCUGCAGUGGGGAAUAUUGGACAAUGGGCGAAAGCCUGAUCCAGCCAUGCCGCGUGUGUGAAGAAGGCCUUCGGGUUGUAAAGCACUUUCAGUGGGGAAGAAAGCCUUGGGGCUAAUACCCUCGAGGAAGGACAUCACCCACAGAAGAAGCACCGGCUAACUCCGUGCCAGCAGCCGCGGUAAUACGGAGGGUGCGAGCGUUAAUCGGAAUUACUGGGCGUAAAGCGCGCGUAGGCGGUCUGAUAAGCCGGUUGUGAAAGCCCCGGGCUCAACCUGGGAACGGCAUCCGGAACUGUCAGGCUAGAGUGCAGGAGAGGAAGGUAGAAUUCCCGGUGUAGCGGUGAAAUGCGUAGAGAUCGGGAGGAAUACCAGUGGCGAAGGCGGCCUUCUGGACUGACACUGACGCUGAGGUGCGAAAGCGUGGGUAGCAAACAGGACUAGAUACCCCUGUAGUC